CCCAGGCCGCUGUCGAGAAGGUCGAGCAGUAUCUGGCGAAGCGCUCCGGCAUCGAGGACGUGACCUUCCUCACCGGCUUCAGCUUCCUGGNAGGCCAGAACACCGCGCAGGCGUUCGUCACGCUGAAGGACUGGUCGGAGCGCGGGCCGAACGAUUCCGCCGCCGCCAUCGUGGCGGAUAUCAAUAACUCGCUGAAGUCGAUCCGNAAGGUCUCGGCGUUGCAGCCGCCGCCGAUCGACAACCUCGGCAACUCGUCCGGCUUCUCG
This 266-nucleotide unclassified non-coding RNA is filed under the name Hevea brasiliensis (rubber tree). The record is from RNAcentral. Lineage: Eukaryota; Viridiplantae; Streptophyta; Magnoliopsida; Malpighiales; Euphorbiaceae.